GUCUCUCAAAGUGCUGGGAUUACAGGCAUUAGCCACCACACCUAGCCUUCUAACAGGCUUUUCAACCAUAUAUUGUGAUUUUACCUGUGUAGGAGAUAGAUGGUAGCGUCUGUCUUUUACAGUUGACAACCCAGAGGCUCUAAGACAGGUGUCCCCAACCCUAGUCUGUGGCUCAUUAGGAACAGGUUGCCCAGCAGGAGGUGAGUGAGUGGUGGGCGAGUGAGCAAAGCUUCAUCUGUGUUUUUACAACCAUCACUCGCAUUACUGCCCGAGCUGUGCCUCCUGUCAGAUCAGCGCAGCAUUAGAUUCUCAUAGGAGUGGGAACUCUAUUGUGAACUGAGCAAGUGAGGGAUCUAGGUUGCAUGCUUCUUAUGAGAAUCUAAUGCCUGAUGAUCUGUCACUGUCUCCUAUCUCAUCUAAUUGCAGGAAAACAAGCUCAGGGCUCCCACUGAUUGUACAUUAUGGUGAGACGUGGUCUUGUAACACAGUGGUUAAGAAUGUGACUUUGGAGCCAGCCUGCUAGGGGCUGAAUUCUGACUCAGCCAUUUACUAACUGUGUGACCUUAGGUAAGUCAUUUACCUUCUUUGUCCCUCAGUUUCAUCUCGGUUAAGUAGGGAUAAUGAUAGCACCUAUUUUAUAGGGUUAUUGUGAGGAAUAAAUCCAAGUAAAAUGCUUAGAAUAGUAACUGAAACAUAGCACUCAUUAGGAAUGCUUUAAUUUUCAUUUAUUUGAGUAUUAAAGGUUGAAUUUUCAGAGGUAUUUUGGACCUUUGUAUUUUUUCUUUAAAUCACUUAUUCAUGACUUUUGAACUUUUUUUUUUCUUUUAGAGACAGGGUCUUGGUUUGUUGUCUAGGCUGGAAUGCAGUGGUGCAAUCAUAGCUCACUGUAGCCUUGAACUCUUGGGCUCAAGAGAUCCUCCUGCCUCAGCCUCGUGAGUAGCUGGGCCUACAGGCGCCUG
This is a long non-coding RNA of Homo sapiens (human), 959 nucleotides long. Ensembl annotates it as PCBP1 antisense RNA 1. Its record names the gene PCBP1-AS1. The record is from Ensembl. NCBI's taxonomy places the organism in Eukaryota, Metazoa, Chordata, Mammalia, Primates, Hominidae.